GUGGAUUAGAUACCCUAGUAGUCCACGCUGUAAACGAUGAAUACUAGGUGUUGGGGGCUAAGCCCUCAGUGCCGCAGUUAACACAUUAAGUAUUCCGCCUGGGGAGUACGAUCGCAAGAUUAAAACUCAAAGGAAUUGACGGGGGCCCGCACAAGCAGCGGAGCAUGUGGUUUAAUUCGAAGCAACGCGAAGAACCUUACCAAGGCUUGACAUCCUAGGAAUCCUAAAGAGAUUUGGGAGUGCCCUUCGGGGAACCUAGAGACAGGUGGUGCACGGUCGUCGCCAGCU
This 288-nucleotide ribosomal RNA is filed under the name uncultured bacterium. RNAcentral describes it as "partial 16S ribosomal RNA". It matches the Rfam family "Bacterial small subunit ribosomal RNA", at positions 773 to 1060 of the family's 1533-position model. The record is from RNAcentral.